RNAcentral lists this ribosomal RNA (492 nucleotides) under uncultured bacterium. Its description in RNAcentral is "partial 16S ribosomal RNA". It matches the Rfam family "Bacterial small subunit ribosomal RNA", at positions 29 to 507 of the family's 1533-position model. The record is from RNAcentral.
AGUGAACGCUGGCGGUAGGCCUAACACAUGCAAGUCGAACGGCAGCACAGUAAGAGCUUGCUCUUACGGGUGGCGAGUGGCGGACGGGUGAGGAAUACAUCGGAAUCUACUUUUUCGUGGGGGAUAACGUAGAGAAACUUACGCUAAUACCGCAUACGACCUACGGGUGAAAGCAGGGGAUCUUCGCACCUUGCGCGAUUGAAUGAGCCGAUGUCGGAUUAGCUAGUUGGCUGGGUAAAGGCCCACCAAGGCGACGAUCCGUAGCUGGUCUGAGAGGAUGAUCAGCCACACUGGAACUGAGACACGGUCCAGACUCCUACGGGAGGCAGCAGUGGGGAAUAUUGGACAAUGGGCGCAAGCCUGAUCCAGCCAUACCGCGUGGGUGAAGAAGGCCUUCGGGUUGUAAAGCCCUUUUGUUGGGAAAGAAAAGCAGCAGGUUAAUACCCCGCUGUUCUGACGGUACCCAAAGAAUAAGCACCGGCUAACUUCGUG